CCAAAGGCUCUUUUCAGAGCCACCCCCAUACUCAUUGAAAAGGGCU
Molecule: non-coding RNA, 46 nt
Organism: Canis lupus familiaris (dog)
Lineage: Eukaryota; Metazoa; Chordata; Mammalia; Carnivora; Canidae
Source: Rfam